GGGGAGGGACCACAGCACCAACACAGACAGAGGAAGCUGAAAUUUUGUCUGUUUUACACCAUAAAGACUCAAGCGGAUCGAUCAGGAAACCUACAGACGAGAUGGAGUUGAAAUGCAGGAAUGAGGCUUGAUUAUCUUAUAAGAUGAUUCUGAAAAUUGGUCAGCCAAUGAGACGACCUCACUCGCCGCUGUCCUGCAACCAUACUGCAUGAUCACAUGAGGAAAAGCAGGCGGUGCUGGACCAAGGCCAGGAGGAUCGUGAAGGACCUCAGCCAUCCCAACAACGGACUGUUCUCUCUGUUGAGGUCAGGAAAGCGAUUCCUGAAGACCAACACAGAGAGACUGAGGAGGAGCUUCUUCCCGCAGGCGAUACGGAGGAGUGAUACACCUCGCUGGAGUGGCACAAAUAAUUAGUGUGGGAUAUUACUGUGACACCUAAUUGUUCUGUAAAUAGUUUUAAAUAAUACCAAAGCCUGAAGCAUUGCUUGUAUAUUUAUGUAAAGAGUUCCAUAUAACAUUGCAAAAUUUGUGCACAAGUUUUUGAAAUUUACAAUUUCUAUUUGAUUUUCAUGUUAGAAAAUAAUUUGCUAAAGUUUUUUGUACGCUGAUGUUUUUUUGUGUGUAAUUUUAGAUUAAUUGUGUUAACUCAGUAUGUCAAAAUGAAAAAAUGACUAAAUUCAGACACGUGAGGUUGUGCUGAAAAGAAUGAUACCAAAUAAAGCAUGAAAAGCAUUUUUAAAGGUGAAAUAAAAGGAUAAAAUCAAAAGUAGUCUACAGCAGACUCCAGUGUGGUAAAGCCCUAAAGCACUCCUAAGAAUUAGAGCUGAAUGUCUCGACUUCACUGUUGUUAACUGAUGAACACACAGAAUGAAUCCAUGUGUAGUGAAGUUCAAAUUUAGGAGAUUUUAAAACCAUUCAUUAUAAAAACAUAAAAUCUCCUCAUUGUACUACAGCUUGCAUUAAUUCAAGAACAUAUUGUAUACAGAAAUAAACAAAUACGAGCUGCUG
Long non-coding RNA from Oreochromis aureus, 1008 nucleotides. The record is from Ensembl. Lineage: Eukaryota; Metazoa; Chordata; Actinopteri; Cichliformes; Cichlidae.